CGCGGAAUUUUAGAUAAUGGAGGGAACUCUGAUCUAGCGACGCCGCGUGCAGGAAGAAGGUCUUCGGAUUGUAAACUGCUGUGGUAAGGGAAAAAUGCUAUGUAGAGUGGAAAGCUACAUAGAGGGAUGGUACCUUACUAGAAAGCCCCGGCUAACUACGUGCCAGCAGCCGCGGUAAUACGUAGGGGGCGAGCGUUACCCGGAAUCACUGGGCGUAAAGGGAGCGCAGGUGGCCUAACAUGUCAACUGUGAAAACCCGGAGCUCAACUCCGGACUUGCAGUUGAAACUGGUAGGCUUGAGGACGGUAGAGGAAGACGGAACUGCCAGUGUAGGGGUAAAAUCCUUAGAUAUUGGCAGGAACGCCGGUGACGAAGGUGGUUUUCUGGGCCGGUUCUGACACUGAGGCUCGAAAGCCAGGGGAGCGAACGG
This 430-nucleotide ribosomal RNA is filed under the name uncultured bacterium. RNAcentral describes it as "bacterial SSU rRNA". It matches the Rfam family "Bacterial small subunit ribosomal RNA", at positions 355 to 775 of the family's 1533-position model. The record is from RNAcentral.